GACGAACCACACGAACGUUAUUCGGAAUUACUGGGCUUAAAGGGUGCGUAGGCGGCGCAGAAAGUUGGGUGUGAAAUCCCUCGGCUCAACCGAGGAACUGCGCCCAAAACUACUGUGCUUGAGGAAGAUAGAGGUAAGCGGAACUUACGGUGGAGCGGUGAAAUGCGUUGAUAUCGUAAGGAACACCUGUGGCGAAAGCGGCUUACUGGGUCUUUUCUGACGCUGAUGCACGAAAGCCAGGGGAGCAAACGGG
RNAcentral lists this ribosomal RNA (253 nucleotides) under uncultured bacterium. RNAcentral describes it as "partial 16S ribosomal RNA". It matches the Rfam family "Bacterial small subunit ribosomal RNA", at positions 524 to 776 of the family's 1533-position model. The record is from RNAcentral. RNAcentral also lists the same sequence under 1 other name.